Vicia faba (fava bean) is the source of this 207-nucleotide non-coding RNA. Lineage: Eukaryota; Viridiplantae; Streptophyta; Magnoliopsida; Fabales; Fabaceae. The record is from the annotation of a GenBank genome assembly.
AUGAGAAUGUUCACUCGAAGGAGCACUACAAGGACCCGCCUGAAGAGACUGAUAGAUAUCAAACAUUUACCUAAAUUCUUCAAAUUGCUUUGCCAAUUCAUCUAUCCGCGCAUUAGCUCGUGCAUCCUCUUCAUGUGCAGCAGCAACUUCAGCUCUGGCAACCUCAAUGGCUUGGCUAUCUGCUUCUCUAUUGGGGUGUGUAAUUGA